RNAcentral lists this ribosomal RNA (504 nucleotides) under uncultured bacterium. Its description in RNAcentral is "partial 16S ribosomal RNA". It matches the Rfam family "Bacterial small subunit ribosomal RNA", at positions 28 to 506 of the family's 1533-position model. The record is from RNAcentral.
GACGAACGCUGGCGGCGUGCCUAAUACAUGCAAGUAGAACGCACAGUUUAUACCGUAGCUUGCUACACCAUAAACUGUGAGUUGCGAACGGGUGAGUAACGCGUAGGUAACCUGCCUGGUAGCGGGGGAUAACUAUUGGAAACGAUAGCUAAUACCGCAUAAUAUUGAUUAUUGCAUGAUAAUUGAUUGAAAGAUGCUAUUGCAUCACUACCAGAUGGACCUGCGUUGUAUUAGCUAGUAGGUGAGGUAACGGCUCACCUAGGCGACGAUACAUAGCCGACCUGAGAGGGUGAUCGGCCACACUGGGACUGAGACACGGCCCAGACUCCUACGGGAGGCAGCAGUAGGGAAUCUUCGGCAAUGGACGAAAGUCUGGCCGAGCAACGCCGCGUGAGUGAAGAAGGUUUUCGGAUCGUAAAGCUCUGUUGUAAGAGAAGAACGGGUGUGAGAGUGGAAAGUUCACACUGUGACGGUAUCUUACCAGAAAGGGACGGCUAACUACGU